GACGAACGCUGGCGGCGUGCCUAAUACAUGCAAGUUGAGCGCUGAAGGUUGGUACUUGUACCAACUGGAUGAGCAGCGAACGGGUGAGUAACGCGUGGGGAAUCUGCCUUUGAGCGGGGGACAACAUUUGGAAACGAAUGCUAAUACCGCAUAAAAACUUUAAACACAAGUUUUAAGUUUGAAAGAUGCAAUUGCAUCACUCAAAGAUGAUCCCGCGUUGUAUUAGCUAGUUGGUGAGGUAAAGGCUCACCAAGGCGAUGAUACAUAGCCGACCUGGGAGGGUGAUCGGCCACAUUGGGACUGAGACACGGCCCAAACUCCUACGGGAGGCAGCAGUAGGGAAUCUUCGGCAAUGGACGAAAGGCUUACCGAGCAACGCCGCGUGAGUGAAGAAGGUUUUCGGAUCGUAAAACUCUGUUGGUAGAGAAGAACGUUGGUGAGAGUGGAAAGCGCAUCAAGUGACGGUAACUACCCAGAAAGGGACGGCUAACUACGUG
RNAcentral lists this ribosomal RNA (497 nucleotides) under uncultured bacterium. Its description in RNAcentral is "partial 16S ribosomal RNA". It matches the Rfam family "Bacterial small subunit ribosomal RNA", at positions 28 to 507 of the family's 1533-position model. The record is from RNAcentral.